GAGCAGGUUGAGAAGAAAGACCAGCAGGUAGGUUGUCAGCCAGAGAGGGACUGUUGGCAGGGUCUGGGCCAAGCUCUUGCCUACUACUCAGCUAUGGCUAAGGGAUGCUGGAGGUUUACUUACUUUUUUUUUUUUUUAUUAUUAAUUGUAGUCAAUUUUAUUUAUUUUUUUAAAUCUAAAGCAUUUAUUUACAGAGGAAUUACCAUCAGUACUAACUUGAAAGAUAAUCUGGUACAUAAAUUAUAAGUAUUAAAUAAUAUCUUUCUUUGGAGGUUCAAAAUAAUCACUCAAGUAGCACUCAACUAAUUAUUUCAGAACCUGAACCUGUACAUACACAAGCAACUAAAUGGAUCUAAAGAAAGAUCUCUAAGACAAGAGAGAAGGUAAGAAAUGCUGACAGCUUUUUCAAAUCUCAAGUGAGUUAGGGAUCCAUGAACGUAUCUAGGGUGGUGCUUUGGUUUACUUACUUUUAACCCACCCUACCCCCGUCCCUUUUGUGUCUUCCUGUGUAUGUGCAGGUGCACAUGAAUGUAGACCAGAAGUCAGCCUGUAUUGUUUCUUAAGUAGCAUCCAUCUUGUCCUUUGAGACACGGUCUCUCAUUGAGCCCUAGAGCUCACCAAUUAGGCUGUCUGUCUGACUGUCCAGCAAACCGUGGAGGUCCUCCUGUCUUUGCUCCCCAGUGCUGGAAUGAUAAGCAAACACCACUGCAUCUGGCUUUUUACAUAAGUGCUGAGCAAACUCAGGUCUUCUUCUAUGCAGGGUUAGCACUUGGCCAACUGGUCUGACUCCCUCACCCCUGAGUUUUGCUGUCUAUCAAGGAGAAAGAUGCAGGGGUCUUUGGAGGAAAGGCUGGAGUGACUGUCACUGCAGAGAGACCCCAGUGGCUCUGAGCAGAGGCUGGCCUGUCAUGAUCACCUGAGCUUUUUCAGAGAGGCUGAACUCAGAAGCUCCCAGAGCUACAGCCAGUGUUCUGAGGUAAUUGGGUCUUCAGAGAGUGCCUGAUUAAAAGACCUGGGCAGAGAGAUCUCUCUCAGCCUCGUCACUCUGUCUCCUUCAGAAACUCAAACGUGUUCUCCUUGGCAGCAGUAGGGUGUUAAGCCAGAAAUGAUUUGGAGCAAAGGUAGAGUGUGAGGGAGGACCAGUGUCCAGUGCUGUUCUUCUGGCUACCUACCCCAGCCUGGGUCUGCAAAGUGACAGCCCAGGCUACAGGGUCACUUGGGGUCGUCUGUAUUUAUCUCUCAGGAGACCAACCCACAAUAUUGCCUUUUUGAGUAGAAGGGACUCUGAGAUGAAUGGGGUGACAGGUGCAGGAGGCAGAGCCUCCUUCCACCACCAACAGCCUCUUCUGGCCCCCAGCAGCCACACAAACCCUAUUCUGUAUGUGAUGUGGGGCCUGAAAUGUGACCACUCUGGGGUCCUGGAGGGCAGAAAAAAAGCUCCCUCUAGUCCUCUCUGGUUUCCUAUGUCCAGGUGGGUCAUGCCCUUCACUGCCCGCCUGUUUCCACCCCUCUCCUACCACGGGCUCUGCUGACAGAGGGGCUACUGGGGGAGGGGCAACAGAGGAGCUCCCCAUCCACCGCUCUGAACAUGUUCUCAGACAGCCCUGGUGAUGUCUGUAAGCUUAGAAGAAGAGCUUCAAGACAAGACUACAGUUCUUUCAAGGCUAAUGAGAAGGAAGAAAUUCUGCCCACAACAAAUGACCCAUCGUCCAGGUACACCAGCUAGACCAGCAUGCACUCUGCCCAUAUCAGCCCACCGGGAAGGACUCUCGAGUUGGUGACAGCCCUGACUUGGAUUUUGUUCUCCCUGGGGACGGUCCACUCUUGGGUCAUCUAGCUCUCCCAGCCUAGGGGUGGGGGAGGGGAAGAGACAGGCACCAGCAGCUUCAGGAAACGAAUGAAUCUAUUAGCCUGUAAUUCCAAACCAAAAUGACUGCGUUGGCUCCUUCUCUGCCCCAUCCAUCUUGUUACUGGGCUGUGGGGAGCUGGGGAAGCCUCCGCCAAGAAAUUUAUUAACUCAGAUUUAAAUAAAAUGGUAAUUUUAUAACAGCCUUUUUUAACAAAAUUAAGGCAUUUGAAUUACUCACCUGGAAACUGCUGAGGGGCACAAAUGUCACAAGAUAAAUCAAGCCUGUGAGAUUGGCAUCUCUCAGCGGCAGCAAGGGUAGCUAGGGGCCAUGAAGCCAACAGCUAAACAGCUCCUCCCCUGCCCCGUCCCUGGCCUGAUGAGGGAGGUUCGGGUGGCCACAUCCCAGGAGUGAACACUCAGCCCGAUGGAUGGAUGGGGCCGUGGGAGAGGUGGGGAAUUAAAAGGGAGGCAUUAAAUAAAAGCUCUAAUUAGCUG
Molecule: small RNA, 2344 nt
Filed under: Rattus norvegicus (Norway rat)
Lineage: Eukaryota; Metazoa; Chordata; Mammalia; Rodentia; Muridae
Description: uncharacterized LOC102557169
Source: RNAcentral